RNAcentral lists this ribosomal RNA (498 nucleotides) under uncultured bacterium. RNAcentral's name for it is "partial 16S ribosomal RNA". It matches the Rfam family "Bacterial small subunit ribosomal RNA", at positions 30 to 523 of the family's 1533-position model. The record is from RNAcentral.
AUUGAACGCUGGCGGCAUGCCUUACACAUGCAAGUCGAACGGUAACAGGUCUUCGGAUGCUGACGAGUGGCGAACGGGUGAGUAAUACAUCGGAACGUGCCCGAGAGUGGGGGAUAACGAAGCGAAAGCCUUGCUAAUACCGCAUACGAUCUACGGAUGAAAGCAGGGGACCGCAAGGCCUUGCGCUCACGGAGCGGCCGAUGGCAGAUUAGGUAGUUGGUGGGAUAAAAGCUUACCAAGCCGACGAUCUGUAGCUGGUCUGAGAGGACGACCAGCCACACUGGGACUGAGACACGGCCCAGACUCCUACGGGAGGCAGCAGUGGGGAAUUUUGGACAAUGGGCGCAAGCCUGAUCCAGCCAUGCCGCGUGCGGGAUGAAGGCCUUCGGGUUGUAAACUGCUUUUGUACGGAACGAAAAGACUCUGGUUAAUACCUGGGGUCCAUGACGGUACCGUAAGAAUAAGCACCGGCUAACUACGUGCCAGCAGCCGCAGUAA